Molecule: long non-coding RNA, 1652 nt
Organism: Gambusia affinis (western mosquitofish)
Lineage: Eukaryota; Metazoa; Chordata; Actinopteri; Cyprinodontiformes; Poeciliidae
Exons: 7
Source: RefSeq, a predicted model, not a curated record
CGUUGGACAAUGUGUUUUUAUUUAUUAGAUAAAAAAACAAGUAACCCCCAUCUAAAUGUUGCUUGCCUACUAUCUUAAAGAAGAAGAGGAAGUAAUCCCCGGUAUUUUUUAAUUUGUUUCUAACAGUUAUAGUUAUGCUGUUUUGAGUUUGCCGCUGGGAGACCGGAAGCAUAGAAGAAGAAAGAGACCAUGGCGAGGCGCUAGGGCGAGGCGAACGGGAUUUUUUUCAUGGAGGAAACAUACUUCUGGGAAACCUAGGUCACGUUACGUUUGUUUAUAGCGACUGCGGAGUAGUUUGUAAACGAGGCGCAUCACGAGGGAGCGAGUUAAACUGUGUUUUUAAAACUCAGCUGAGUAUGUUAAGCUAAACUAGCACAGAAGCUAACGCUACUACUUUUGAGCUAAUUGCUAAAAUAGUCAAGAGACUUGUGUUGCCAAUGUGGAUCAGCACUAACCUGCAUUCUGGUACGGAGGACGAUGAAGAGGGAUUCCGCACACAACUGCUCUUUUGAUCCUGAGCCAGAGGAUUAGCUUCAGACUGGUAUAUUUAUAAGAACAUCUGCGAAGAAGGAGACAGUUUUCCCUGCCAACUUCUGCUGCUUUGAGGCCACCGGGUCAAGAACCUGCUAGGCAGCCCACCUUGUUCGCUGCCAACUCCAUUUGAAAAUCAUUAUAAUGUGUGCCAUCAAUCACAAGACCGGACCAAGUGAUGUGUGUAGUGAUGGGAACUGCUCUGCCCCCUCCUGCUAUAUACAAACGUGUUGAUAGAAGAGGCUCCUUUAAUGUCAAACUGCUGCCAUUCAAGGUCCACCUCAGUUUCUGCCUUCUCGCGUGACUUCAGCUCCGUGCAAAGCGAGUGCAGGUGUUUACUGUAAGGAGGAGAAGAAAGGAUGAGAACGUCAGCGGCCUCCAAACAGCCUGGAUGGCAGAUGGAGAAGAGCAGGGAUACAGAAACUCAAAGCAGAAAGGCAAAACAAGUGAAUAGGAAAGAAUCUGAUCCAUGUGGGAAGGAAGACCACCCGUAAUGAGGGCAGAAGCACAAAGUGCAGCCGAGUGACAGCAACCGGCAGGGGCGAAAGAAGAAUGCGGUUCUGUUUGACGUGCCGAAAUCCAGUCUCAUCCCCCGCUGUCUGCCUGAGAGCAGCGAAGAUAUGGAUGGAGAGGGGAGAUAAGUGGAGCGUAAAUGUUUCCUUACCACAUCUUAUGUUCUUGGACAGUCGCACUUCAUCCCUCUCUAUCUCCUACCAUCUCUGCGCGCCGUCCUCCAGGCCUGGGAGGCGCUCCAAAUGAAGCUCUCAGACAUACUGAGCAAAUUAAGCAUCGUUAAAGAUGAAAUGUUGCUGCUGAAGAUGCUAUCGGGAUGAUAAACCAAAGCCAGUAACCACUUAGGAAACCGUGAGAAGCCUGUUCCUGGUUAGGCAAAGAUAACAAGCGACAAGAUAAAUCCAUAAACCUUUUUCUGUUUUAUAGGCUGACUUUGUGUUUAUUUUUCUAAACCCAUUUUUAGGGCUACCAUAUUUCUGUUAAAACGUCAUAGAAGUAAGCGGUACAGUUCUCAAUGUAGUACCUCAAUUUUAAAGAGGCAGUGUUAUGUAAAAUCAGCUUCCUGGAGCUUUAAUUUACGAAAUAAUGGCAUUUCUUCAUCAAAAACA